RNAcentral lists this ribosomal RNA (500 nucleotides) under uncultured Glomeromycotina. RNAcentral's name for it is "partial small subunit ribosomal RNA". It matches the Rfam family "Eukaryotic small subunit ribosomal RNA", at positions 591 to 1092 of the family's 1831-position model. Lineage: Eukaryota; Fungi; Glomeromycota. The record is from RNAcentral.
CCAAUAGCGUAUAUUAAAGUUGUUGCAGUUAAAAAGCUCGUAGUUGAAUUUCGGGAUCAAUAUGUCGGUCGUGCCUCCGGUACGUACUGGCGUCAUUGAUUUCUCCCUUCUGAUGAACCACGAUGUCAUUAAUUUGGUGUCAUGGGGAAUCAGGACUGUUACUUUGAAAAAAUUAGAGUGUUUAAAGCAGGCUCACGCUUGAAUACAUUAGCAUGGAAUAAUGUAAUAGGACGUUUGAUUCUAUUUUGUUGGUUUUUAGGACCGACGUAAUGAUUAAUAGGGCUAGUUGAGGGCAAUAGGAUUCAAUUGUCAGAGGUGAAAUUCUUUGAUUUAUUGAAGACUAACUACUGCGAAAGCAUUUGCCAAGGAUGUUUUCAUUAAUCAAGAACGAAAGUUAGGGGAUCGAAGACGAUCAGAUACCGUCGUAGUCUUAACCAUAAACUAUGCCGACUAGGGAUCGGAUGAUGUUAAUUUUUUAAUGACUCAUUCGGCGCCUUACG